This 406-nucleotide ribosomal RNA is filed under the name uncultured bacterium. RNAcentral's name for it is "partial 16S ribosomal RNA". It matches the Rfam family "Bacterial small subunit ribosomal RNA", at positions 30 to 526 of the family's 1533-position model. The record is from RNAcentral.
AUUGCACGCUGGCGGCAGGCCUAACACAUGCAAGUCGAACGAGUGGCGGACGGGUGAGUAAUGUCUGGGAAACUGCCUGAUGGAGGGGGAUAACUAAUGGAAACGGUAGCUAAUACCGCAUACCAUCGGGUGUGCCCAGAGGGGAUUAGCUAGUAGGUGGGGUAAAGGCUCACCUAGGCGACGAUCCCUAGAUGGUGUGCGCGGAUGACCAGCCACACUGGAACUGGUACACGGUCCAGACUCAUACGGGAGGCAGCAGUGGGGAAUAUUGCACAAUGGGCGCAAGCCUGAUGCAGCCAUGCCGCGUGUAUGAAGAAGGCCUUCGGGUUGUAAAGUACUUUCAGCGGGGAGGCGUUACCCGCAGAAGAAGCACCGGCUAACUCCGUGCCAGCAGCCGCGGUAAUUC